Molecule: long non-coding RNA, 2578 nt
Organism: Marmota monax (woodchuck)
Lineage: Eukaryota; Metazoa; Chordata; Mammalia; Rodentia; Sciuridae
Exons: 4
Source: RefSeq, a predicted model, not a curated record
GGCAUUGACAAGUGUGGAAAACAGCCCUCACCGCGAGCAGUGUGUCAUGGCUGCCUCAGACAGGCCCUCGGCUGGCCGGUUCUGCCAUGCACCUCUGGCGCACACACCCCUUCACACUCCUCUCCAAGCCCCCAAGACUGCUCUCUUCUAAGAACUCCAGGAGUAAUGAUGCCAUGGACAAUCUUAUACUUUUGCCUCCAGUUGUGAUGUAAUUUGACAGGCUGAGCUCCUCCUGUUACCAUCAUCCUUACUGUCAGCUAAAAGCUUAUUGAGAAAAAAAGAAAAAGAAAAAAAGAAGAAGAAGAAAAAGCCGAACUGUAACUUACCAACCAACCCAAGCCAAAUAAUACUUUGGAAAGCAAUGUGGUUACAAAAGCAAUAAAUGAAUGGCUUAGCCCUUCUUGUGUCUUAGAAAUUGGACCCACCGUUGCCAAGAAGGAGUAAAGAAAUGAGUCUGUAUUUCAUUUAACUGCACUGAAUUCCUUGAGGAUUUCGGCGGACACAACAUCUUUGUUUGUAUGUGGUGCUGAGGAUCGAACCCGGGCUGCACGCAUGCCAGGCGAGCGCGCUACCGCUUGAGCCACAUCCCGAGCCCUGUAAUAUGUUUUUAAAAGUAUGUGAAACUACCCUGCAUUUCAUUGAUCUUACUUUUUUCCCUAGGCAGUUCUGAAGGUCCACCAUCUGCCCCACAGUGCCAUGUGUACCUCUGACUGUUCCCUCUAAAUGCUGCUGGGCAGUCCAAAGUGUAUGUCCUCAACAUUCAUCUAUCUGCUCCCUAAGUGAACUCAUAGGUUGCUCCCAAGUCUACACAACUACAAGCAAAAUUGCAAUGAAUAUCCCCAUGCAUAUCCCCUUAAGUAUCCAUGCAAGUUUUUCUAUUCAAUACAACCCUAGGGGUAGAAUUGCAAGGUCAUAGCAUAUGUAUAUUCUCAACUUCACUAAGUAGUGCUAGAUGCUUUCCAGAAAGGAUGCCAUUGUUCACCAGCAGUGGUGGGGUUCCUAUAUCCCCACAUCUCCACCAACACUUGGCCUUUUCCAUCUUUCUAGCUUUUGGCAGCCUAAUAAGUGUAACAAGUCAACGUUUUUUAAAAUUUGUAUGUGUCAGAUUACUGAUGACUUGGGCCAUCACUUCUCUGCAUAUGUGCAGUAGUAAUUUUGAGUUUCCUCUUCUGUGAAUUUCCCGUUUGUAUCCUUGCCUGUUUUUCUAUUGGGCUUGCUGCCUUUAUCUUGUUGAAUGGUAACAGUUACUAGUGUUCUUUGCUUAGCUCUUGUGGGUUUUAGACAUUUCUAACAUUUUCCCCACACUGCUAUCUGUGUGACAAAUCUGUCUAUAAUGUCUUCCCUAAAUGAAAAGUCUUAUUACUUAGGGACUCAAAGCCAUCAGUGCAUUGCCUUAUGAUUUGUGCUUUUUGAAAUUUUGUUUGAAAAGGUUUUCCCUGCCCCUAGGUCACCAAGAUAUUCUUCUACUUCCUGCUCCUCUCCCUGCAGGGUCAGACCUUUGCCCUUUGAGUCUUUAAUCCAGGAGGAGUCUACCUGUGGAUGAGCAAGCAGUUUAGUCUCUGCCUUAUUGUCCCCAUGAGCACUGCUGAUGUUGACUUGUGAUACUGUCCCUCCUUACAACAUUUAAGUUCCACCCAACAUAGAGAUCUGUGUCUGAGUCCUCUGACCUAUUUUUUUUGGGGGGUGCAUUUACCUGGGGUGUCUUGUUUUGUUUUUUUCCACCAAUGUACCCCUGUUGUUGGUGCUAUUCCUUGGACGGGUGUUUUAAUAUCUAGUAGGGAAAGCUCCCCUUCUAUUGAUGUUUCUAUUUAAGCUCAACUCAGACAUUUAUAAACAUUUAUUUCUCCAGAUAAAUUUUAAAGAAGUCGAUUAUAUUCCUCAAAAGAAAAAAGAAAUCUGAGUAGUAUUUUUAUGGCAUUGUAUUAAAUUUAUAGAUUAAAUGGGAGAAUUUAUGCCUUUCUAGUACAUUAUUAUUCAAAAGCAUAGGAUUUUUCUACACUUAUUCAUAUCCUUUUUUAAUGUUCUUUAUCAUUAUUUUAAAGGGUUCUGGGUUUGUGUUUGGGGUUUUUGUUUUUGGUACUAGGAAUUGAACCCAGGGGCACUUUACCACUGAGCCACAUCCCCAGCCAUUUUGAUUUUUUACUUUGAGAUGGAGUCUUGCUAAAUUGCUAAGGAGCUUUGAACUCACAAUCCUCCUGCUUCAGCCUCCCAAGUCACUGGGAUUACAGGUUUGUGCCACCAUGCCUUUUACAUUGUCUUAUCAACAUAAUUAAUUUCUAUAUAUUUAAAAUAGACUUCUUGGUACUGGAAAAGAUGAGUUGUUAUUUGUUACGUUUUUCUGAUUGGCUGUUGCUAGUGCAAUAUUGCAAAUUGUGUACCCAACAAUUUUACUUAGUUUUCUUACUGGUUCUAUUACUUGUCUUUGGAAUCUGUUGGGUUUUCUGGAUUAAUGAUCAUAUCAUUUGCAAAUGAAGACAGUUUUCUCUCUAACUUUCUGUAUUAGUCAGCUUUCACGAAGUUAAGCUUUGAUAACAAAUGACUGCCACAACUCUGACUUACAACAACAAAAAUAAAUGUC